Molecule: long non-coding RNA, 4888 nt
Organism: Prinia subflava (tawny-flanked prinia)
Lineage: Eukaryota; Metazoa; Chordata; Aves; Passeriformes; Cisticolidae
Exons: 4
Source: RefSeq, a predicted model, not a curated record
CACGGAGCCGCUGGCUACAGGAACCAUGGUAGUAGACCCUGCGGCAGGCACACAAGCAGACAAUGCCUCCAGACCUGGCGCAGGCAGACAAGGCACCGGAAAAGAUUCAGCACGAGUGGCCAGGGUUGCUGUUCCCUGAGAUUCUCCUCGGGGUUGCUGUUCCCAGAGUGUUUCACACCGAAGCCAGAGACGACAAGCUGAGUCCGCCAGUGCAUGUUACCAAGAGACCAAUAUGAUUGGUGGGCAAAAUUAACAUGUCUUCAACCACACUGGUUAAACCAGAGGGCCAUCAAGAAGUCCCUCCUCUAAAAAGAACGACUACAAAGAUAUAGUUAAGAAAACAUCUCUUCUUGUUUGCAGAAAACCGUCUGGGAAAGAAAUUUCACAAACCAAAACAUCCUAGGCAUGAAAUCAGGGCUACAGGUGAUGCCCUUCAUCACUUGAGAAUCACAACAAGCAUGUUUUUAUUCACAGUGUUCAGUAAAGUAGGCCAGACUUUUGUGUAACACUUGUAUUGAGAACGUGUUUUUAUUCUGAAGUGAUCAUACAGUAAUAACUAGAAGUAAAUUUGAUUAUUUGGAAAUGGGCAAAUAAAAAAUCAUAAAAGCAUCAGAAACCUUAAACAGCUUACUGGAUAGCUGCAACAUUGUGAUGAAGGUGAUUUGUGGUGUUUAUUUUCUUGGUUAGAUGACCUUGGAUUCGAGGUAUGGUUUAAAUGUUUAGUAGUAUACAGCCUAAUUGUCUUUGGUGUGUUUUUAUUGAUUAAACAAAGAAGGGAGAGAUGUGGGAGGGAAGAAAAGCCUUAUAGAAUAAGGACCUUUUCCACCUUUGUUUAAUCCUGUUCACUUCUGUUCACUCUUGUUCACCAGAAAGCAUUCUGGGAAAGGUUCAGCUAACAGCAAGGUAAAAAACAGGUUAUAUAACCAGAGAACAAAUUGUAUAACUAGUGUGUUAUGUGUGGGGCAGUGAUUGGUUGGGGAGAUGCGGGGACACAGCGUGAUCUAAAAGGUGGUUGGGUAAAAGGACAGGUGAACAGCGGCAACUGCAGUGGCAGGCAGCCAAUGCAUGCUUGUUUUGCCUAAGUUUAGAGGACAAAAAUAUUGGUUUUUUGCAAUAAACCAUUUUCUUCAGAACAAGCAAGAAGGAGGUCUGUGUCUCAUUGCUACAUUGGAGAGCCAAGGAGUGGUCAGCAAGACCCACUCACCUUUCAACAGCCCCAUUUGACCUGUGCACAAGUCGGAUGGACAAUGGCGAUUGACAGUGGACUAUUGUGGCUUGAAUGAAGUUACCCCACCACUGAGUGCGGCUACGUCAGACAUGCUGGAGGUUCAGUAUGAACUGGAGUCCGAGGCAGAGAAGUGGUAUGCCACUACUGAUACUGCAAAUGUGUUCUUCUCCAUCCCGUUAGCAAUAGAGUGUAGGCCACAGUUUGCUUUCACCUGGAGGGGUGUGCAGUACAUGUGGAACUGAUUGCUCCAGGGGUGAAAACACAGUCCCACCAUCUGCCAUGGAUUGAUCCAGGCUGCACUAGUGAAGGGUGAGGCUCCGGAACAUCUGCACUACAUUGAUGACAUCAUUGUAUGGGGGUGUCACGAUCUGUUUAAUGGUUGUGAUGGUUCGUUUUGAUUUCAAAGUGCAAAAAGAGGCAAAGAGAACUCAGUUUUAACCAAAAAUCAAUGUAUCUUUUACUGGUACCCACAAUCAAUGUGCAACAGAGGAAAAAGGAGAGAAAGAGAAAGGGAGAGGAGAGAAAAGAGAAAACAAGGGGGUUAUAGCUACCAAUGGGAGACGCGAGUCCUCCUGACACUGAGCCAAUAGACCACCUUCAAAGUCCUUGUGGCACGUGCCAAUAGAUCCAUCUUCUCUGUCGGGGAGGUCUCAGAGGUGGUAAAGUUGUUGGGGCUUCUUAUAGUCCUUUUCAGGGCGAGGGGCAGCUUGCCAGGAGGAGUGGUAGAUCUCGUGAGCGGUGCCGUCUUGUUGCUCCAUUGAGGGAACAGGUCGGUGUGGGAUUGCAUUUUAUGGAAAUGGUUUGUUCUGGCUCACCCCUGGGAAAUGUACGGUUUAUCCCAAGUCUGGAUCCUCCCUGCAGUAUCCUGUAUCUGUAACCUCAUUGGCUGGAGAAUGUUACCGCGCCCCUUUGAACCUCUGUGAUAAGAAUGCUAAGGCAGAAGGCUCUGCCCCUCUUGCCCCUCUACCCCUGGAGGCCUCCUGAUGCUCCCUUUCCCUCUCCUCCCUUCCCCCCCCUUUCCCUUCCCCUCUCCCUGAGUGAAUAAACCCUCACCUCAUCAGCAUCCCACCGGCAUCUGAGUCUCUUUGCCUGCCAGCGCGGGAACACCACGACCCCAAAAGACCCCGGGGGUCUCCGGGGGGCACUCCCCGGGGACCCCCCAUAAAUUUAAACAACAACAGGUCAGUACAGCACAGCUAGUUCGUCCAGCAGCAAACACAGCCCAGGCACCUGUGACGGGUCCAUUGUUCUUCCCACGGGCUAGUGGGCACACCUGCAGGACUUUGGCAGGUUUCCAUCUCAGCCUAUGCCAAGCCAGGUGGACUGAGUCAGGGGUCUCUAUGGUCUCAGCCCCCUUUCCCCCCCAUCCUUCUGUGGCAAUCGGGAGGCAAAUGAAGGGUCUUUGGACCGACUCUCACAGAGGGAACACAGCAACAGAAGUAUUUGAGAAAGAAGAAAAGAUCAUUCAGAUUCUCCUGGAAGCCAGCUUUGCCAUCAAAAAGAGUAAGGUCAAGGGACCUGCCCAAGAAAUACAGUUCCUGGGAGUAAAGCGGCAAGACAGAUGGCAUCAGAUAUGCACCAAGGUCAUCAACAAGAUCACAGCAAUGUCUCCACCAACCAGCAGGAAGGAAACGGAAGCUUUCCUAGGUGCCAUAGGAACAUAAGUGCCAGCCAUCAACUUUCAUUUAUUAAGGUCUGUUAUUGAAAACAGAACUUUUACUAAUAUUACACCAUCUGCACCUACUACACGAUGGAGAGGAGCCUCUUUAUGCCCCAGUUCCCUCAUAAUAUCAGUCUCAGUAGCUUGAUUGUCUGUUGCCCCCUCACACCUGCAAUUAGGACCAUAAGAUCUAAAUACUCCUCCUAAUCGAGAUGAUGUUUAGAACAAAUUUGUCCUAUGCUGAAUAUAGAACAUCAACACUUUAACCAUUUUCCUUGAUUCUCCUUUUUAAGAGCCAGCACAAAAGGGUCUGAGGGGACUGAAUUCAAGCCACAAUCUUUCUACCAUUCUGGAUGAUUCCUUAAAGAGAAAAACAUAUCAGCAUACACAACCUCAUCCCAUUUCUGUUCUCAUCUUAAAAACAACAUUAGCUGUACCAAUGCAUUAUAGUUCAAGGUUCCAUUUAGUGGCCAUUUUUCUGCAGAGUUUAGUUUGUACAAUGGCCACCAUUAAUUACAAUACUUAAUCAAAUUCUCCCUGGUAGCUGUUCCCCCGGGGGCUUUCUGAUCUUUCUCCUAUGUCACAAAAUGCAACCAAGUGGGGAUUUUUUCAGAAUGAUUCCUUAAGAUUGUCCACUACCCAUCUCCAAAUAGUAGACCCAAAAUGUUACAAUAUGGAUACAAAUAAAAAACAACGAUUGAUAAAACCAAGUUAAAUACAAAAUUCCAGAAUACCAAAUAACCCACCUAAUGCGCUGGAAGAUCCACACGCCUUACAAGGGCAGCAUUCCCAAAAGAAUCCCUUAUUAAUAGAUGGGAUCUUACUUGAGCUCCAGACUGAUCCAGGGAUCUGUGGUAUUCUUCAGGAAAGUCCUGGUGCUGGUAAAGAUCCAGAGAUCCCUUGGAUCCACGGGAGAUCAGGUAGAGUGUCCCAUCUAGAGGUGCCAAAAAUGAUACUGAAAUUGACCAGAAAGAAACUUUCUAACACAGUUUUGAGUAUUAGAAAGUAGGCAUUCUUUAUUGCAGUGCACUGGUGUCUUGGGUUACAAUGAAAAGGUGUAACCAAAAGUAUGCAUUCUAUUACUAUCUCCAUAAACUGUUAAAAUAGGUGGAGAAGUGUUCUUUAUCUUCUCCAUGAGUCAGUCCUGAUAACUCCCUCUGGAGAGCUAUCUCUGCUAAUGGGCCAUCAAGGUCUCAUAGCAUGAUUUACAGAAUUACAUAAUCCCAUUCUGAGAUGACCCACUCAGGGGGAAGACUCAAACAUUCCUACCUGUAUAUAAUCUGAGACAUAGAACACCACGGGAGCACUACCACUGGAUUCCCAGAGUGAUAGUGGAGGGUAAAAAAAAAAAAAAAAAUUCUGUAUGGCUAACUACGGGUGGUGGGGAGCUAGAAGACACACGGCCUGAAACCUGACGCAGCCUGGCCUUGGAACAGACGUCAGCUUACUGCAACCAGCCUCAUACUAUUGUUUUAAUUGAUUCAAGUGUGACUCCAGCCUGGGAGAUGAUUGGGAAGCAUUGUUUUAACCAAAUCAAGUAUAACUCAGGGUAAAGCAUAAGCAUGAUUUAAGAUAGUAACUAAGGAUUAGAGCCAGUAGCUAAGGGGGGAGGGUGCUAGUUAACGUAUGCGUGACUUGAAGGUAUAAAAUCACAAACCAACUUUGUAUCCUCGGGCACAAGAUUUGGGUGUCCCAUCACCCCUGUGUCCCGCGUGCUCAAAUAAAGAACUGCAUAUGAUCGCCUUUGUGUGGUUAUGUGUUUUCCUAUGCUAACAAGAGGACAAGAGUUCAAUACUCACCACUGGACCUCCAGAGAGAGACCAGAUCUUUUUACAGGAUCACCACUUCGACAAAACCACAUCCAUAACUCCAGCAGGACUGUAGCCACCAUUUAAUCAGACUGCUACCACCACCCUGAUCAACAGGGUGUCAGGUUGUAUUCUGAGUCUGUCAGUUAAAGUCAGUGUUUCUGUACUGUUGCUUUUAUUUUAAUUUUCCUA